RNAcentral lists this unclassified non-coding RNA (124 nucleotides) under uncultured Archaeorhizomyces. RNAcentral describes it as "sequence contains ITS1". The record is from RNAcentral. Lineage: Eukaryota; Fungi; Ascomycota; Archaeorhizomycetes; Archaeorhizomycetales; Archaeorhizomycetaceae.
ACGAAUGGUCUCCGUACCUUCAAACCCCUCAAACCUGUGGACAUUUGAAAACGUGCUUCGGCGUUCAUGCGUCGCCUUUAUGCCGUAAAUCUGUCUUGUGUCUGAAUGCAAAGAAAAAGAAUCA